Molecule: transfer RNA, 76 nt
Filed under: Ligilactobacillus salivarius
Lineage: Bacteria; Bacillati; Bacillota; Bacilli; Lactobacillales; Lactobacillaceae
Also listed under: 1 other name
Description: Lactobacillus salivarius tRNA-Gln
Rfam family: tRNA
About the family: Transfer RNA (tRNA) molecules are approximately 80 nucleotides in length.
Source: RNAcentral
UUGGGCAUUCGCCAAAUUGGUAAGGCAGUGGACUCUGAAUCCAUAAUUUACAGGUUCGAACCCUGUAUGCCCAAUC